RNAcentral lists this ribosomal RNA (319 nucleotides) under uncultured eukaryote. RNAcentral describes it as "partial 18S ribosomal RNA". It matches the Rfam family "Eukaryotic small subunit ribosomal RNA", at positions 1470 to 1796 of the family's 1831-position model. The record is from RNAcentral.
CCCUUAGAUGUUCUGGGCAGCACGCGCGCUACAAUGGUCUUCGCAAACGGAUGCAUUCUCGAAGGAGAAUGCCAAUCUUGGAAUCUAUGCCUUGGUCGGGACAGUUGCUUGCAAUUUUUCGACUCGAACCAGGAAUUCCUUGUAAUCGUGAUUCAUCACAUCACGAUGAAUACGUCCCUGCCAUUUGUACACACCGCCCGUCGCUCCUACCGAUCGAAGAGUUAGGUGAAUUGUUUUGAUCGAUAAGAUUUGACUAUGGUCAACUCUCGUUGUGAAAUUCUGUGAAUCUGACUGUUUAGAGGAAGGAAAAGUCGUAACA